ACCUCGAUGUCGGCUCAUCGCAUCCUGGGGCUGUAGCAGGUCCCAAGGGUUGGGCUGUUCGCCCAUUAAAGCGGUACGCGAGCUGGGUUCAGAACGUCGUGAGACAGUUCGGUCCCUAUCCGGCGCGGGCGUAGGAUAUCUGAGAGGAGCUGUCCUUAGUACGAGAGGACCGGGAUGGACGGACCGCUGGUGUAUCAGCUGCAUCGCCAGAUGCAUAAGGCUGGGUAGCCACGUCCGGACGGGAUAAACGCUGAAGGCAUCUAAGCGUGAAGCCCCCCUCAAGAUGAGAUAUCCCUGCUUCGGCAGUAAGACCCCUUGUAGAGUACGAGGUUAGAUAGGCACAAGGUGUAAGCAUGGUAACAUGUUCAGCUGAUGUGUACUAAUAGGUCGAGGGCUUAUCCA
Molecule: ribosomal RNA, 402 nt
Filed under: Butyrivibrio hungatei
Lineage: Bacteria; Bacillati; Bacillota; Clostridia; Lachnospirales; Lachnospiraceae
Description: bacterial LSU rRNA
Rfam family: Bacterial large subunit ribosomal RNA
Source: RNAcentral